Long non-coding RNA from Helicoverpa zea (corn earworm), 727 nucleotides. RefSeq lists it as uncharacterized. NCBI's taxonomy places the organism in Eukaryota, Metazoa, Arthropoda, Insecta, Lepidoptera, Noctuidae. The transcript is spliced from 2 exons. The record is from RefSeq and is a predicted model, not a curated record.
CUGGAUGAGCUUCAACUUACUUGUCGAGAUUUUCAAGGUCGUCUUUAUGUAAUCUCCAUAUGACACCCCAAACAUGAGCAUUAGCCGUGGGCACUAGAGUGCCCACAGGACCUCCCCAAAACUCGCGAAUGCAGUGCACGAGGUCUCGGUUUCACUUCCCGAAAUCGCUUUGUGGGUUUUAGAAAGUACCAUAAAGCAGACCGGACUCUGGAAGUUGAUGAUAGAUGCCUACGCCCGUGCAUCUGAGAGCACGUUGUUGGUCCUGCGUCUGAUCUCUCUCCGCUCGUGUCGGAUUGCCGACCCAUCGGGCUAUGAGAGUAAAUGUAUGUAUGGUUCUCGCAAAACUUCAUGGACGUUACAAAGAAAUUCCGAGCACAAGUACGUGCCCUCACCUCCUCCAUGUGGCCCAUACCCCUCCCUCACCUCCGCCACCGGCUGCUACGGUAUAUGUUACGAGCGCAAUAUGCGCGAGACGAAAUUGAUUUUCUGUUUAUACUACGGUCUUAUAAUUAAGUGGUCAAAUUGAUUUUUGUAAAACGUGACCAUAAAAAGACUACACUAUACCUAAUAUAGGUAAUCAACAUUUUAUCAUGUUCUCUCAGGAAAUGGAAUGAUAGAAGAAAAUAAAAGAAGUGCUAAGUUUAAAAUUAUUCAUUUUGUAAUCACAGUGUAAUUGUAUAUGUUAUUUAGAUAUAUUUUUUCAAUUAUAAGUUUAGAACAUCGAAAA